GUAGGGAAUAUUGGGCAAUGGAUGCAAGUCUGACCCAGCCAUCCCGCGUGCCGGAAGAAGGCCCUCAGGGUUGUAAACGGCUUUUGACGGUGAAGAAUCGACAGGAUGCGCCCUGUUUUGACGGUAGCCGUUGAAUAAGCACCGGCUAACUCCGUGCCAGCAGCCGCGGUAAUACGGAGGGUGCGAGCGUUGUCCGGAUUUAUUGGGUUUAAAGGGUGCGUAGGCUGGAAGGUCAGUCAGCGGUGAAAAGCUGUCGCUUAACGAUAGUCUUGCCGCAGAUACUUCCUUUCUUGGAUGAGGAGGAGGCCACUGGAACGGAUGGUGUAGCGGUGAAAUGCAUAGAUAUCAUCCAGAACACCGAUUGCGAAGGCAGGUGGCUGUACCUUAAUCGACGCUGAUGCACGAAAGCAUGGGGAGCAAACAGGAUUAGAUACCCUUGUAGUCC
This 445-nucleotide ribosomal RNA is filed under the name uncultured bacterium. RNAcentral's name for it is "partial 16S ribosomal RNA". It matches the Rfam family "Bacterial small subunit ribosomal RNA", at positions 354 to 796 of the family's 1533-position model. The record is from RNAcentral.